AUUCGCUGUCAAGAGGGUGGAUGCCUAGCUAGCUGUUUCUAGGCUUUAGGACCCUUGGGCUGGACCUGGCUAGUCAAGCUCCUGUUUCCUGUUUACUCCUGUAUCCUUAAUAUCCCUAUUUUAAGCAGCAGGCAGUGUUGGGCAUCUGGCAGUUGCCGCAGUCACUGUAAUUCAUGGGAUUUAGAGACAGUCUGCUCAUUUCACUAGCUCACUUGGAAAUUGAGGUACUGACUUCUUACACUCUUUAUAACAGCUGUGAUUAUUAUUUGACCCUGCUGGUCAACUAUGAACGUUUGAACUAGAGGUCGACCGAUUUUAAUCGGAAUGGCAGAUUUGAAUUAGGGCUGAUUUCAAGUUUUCAUAACAAUCGGAAAUCAGUAUUUUUGGGCGCCGAUUUGCCGUUUUUUUGAUUUUAUUUGUAUUAUAUAUUUUUUUACACCUUUUAGUUAACUACAGAUGGUUGAUAUUAUCUAGCGUGUCAUGCGUUGCGUAUAAUCUGACUGAGCAUACAAGUAUCUAAGUAUCUGACUGAGCGGUGGUAGGCAGAAGCAGGUGCGUAAACAUGAAUUCAAACAGCACUUUUGUGCGUUUUACCAGCAGCUCUUCGUUGUGCAUCAAGUAUUGUGCUGUUUAUGACUUCAAGCCUAUCAACUCCCGAGAUUAGGCUGGUGUAACCGAAGUGAAAUGGCUAGUAAGUUAGCGCGCGCUAAUUGUCGUUGUGUUGCUGGUUCGAAAGCAAGGAAAGAGAUAUAAAAGCUAUACUGUUACACUGGCAAUACUAAAGUGCCUAUAAGAACAUCCAAUAGUAAAAGAGUAAUGAAAUACAAAUGGUAUAGAGGGAAAUAGGAAUUAUAGGACUAAUAACUACAACCUAAAACUUCUUACCUGGGAAUAUUGAAGACUCAUGUUAAAAGGAACCACCAGCUUUCAUAUGUUCUCAUGUUCUGAACAUGUUUCUUACAUGGCACAUAUUUUACAUGGAACAUAUUGCACUUUUACUUCUCCAACACUUUUUUUUUUGCAUUAUUUAAACCAAAUUGAACAUGUUUCAUUAUUUACUUUAGGCUA
Molecule: long non-coding RNA, 1068 nt
Organism: Oncorhynchus tshawytscha (Chinook salmon)
Lineage: Eukaryota; Metazoa; Chordata; Actinopteri; Salmoniformes; Salmonidae
Source: Ensembl